CUGGAGUUGCAGUCCCGCGUGGCUGAGGGGCCGGGCCGCGGGGCCGCCGGGGAGUUACACCAGUGCGUGGCUGAGGCACGGAAGACAGAGAUGAUUCCGGGGUGGCUCCUUUGAACCGCUGCCUACUGGGCUUCAGCAGAGAGAAGUAACAGACCCACCCUAGAGGAGCAGCACUCACCUUUAGGUGAGCAAGGAGACAUGUGCCAGAAGAGCACCAUCCCUGCCUCACCUGAGAGCAGACCUGUGCCAGAGGAGCAGUGUCUGACCCUACAUGAGCAAGCACACCUGCUCCAGAGGAGUGGCUCUCACCAGCAGGGGAGCAAGAAGUCCUGUAUUGGUCAAGCAGCACCCCUCCCUGGGGGAGCAUGUCACAAGGAAUCAGGAGGCAAGGAACAACCAACCAACCUGAUCCUGGACAGCACAAUACCAGAGAGAGAAGGGAACCACCAGAUUCUCUGACAAAGGACAUUAAAUCUAACAGCCCACAUGAACCCCUGGCCUGUGGCCUAUACCUGGCAGAGACAAGUGGGCUGAAAACUAGUAUGGAGAUUCCUCACAAAACUGAAACUAGAAAUUCUACUUGAUCCAGCUAUUCCCCUUCCAAAUAUCUUCACAAAAGAGUUAAAGACAUUACAGUGAUCCAUGCAGACCCAUGUAUAUAGCAACACAAUUCAUAAUAGCUAAACAUUGGAAGCAGCCCAUAUGUCCAUCAACAGAAGAAUAGAUAAAUUAAGUGUGGUUUUUAAACACAAUUGAGUACUACUCUACCAUAAGGAAUGAUAAACUUGAGUCAUUUGUAAAAAGAAAUUAAAGCAUCUUGAGACCAUAAUGUUCAGUGAAAUAAAUCAGACACAUAAGCUUAAAUAUCACAUGGAGGUUUUUUUUGUAUGAGAAACCCAAAGUAUAGAUAAAGAGCAAAAUAAAGAUAGAUGAUAGGAAGAAGAGGGAUAAAUCUUUCUAAACAGGGAAAAGAUCAAAAGGUGGAGAGGGUGGGGGUGGGAGGAGAGGGAAAGGGGAUGAUACAAAGGAAGUGUAAGAUGUGUUAUGUACCCGUACCAAUUGCUCCCCAGGUCUGUAAACUUUAUGUAUUACCAACAUGUACUAAUGAAAAUAAAUAAUAAACCAAAGGUAAAUACAAACCUUGAGACCCAUUCUGGAAAGAGCAGGCUGAUGUGGGUGAGAGAACAGAGAUGGAAAGAAAAAAAACUAACCAAAGGCUUAGAUUGUGAAGAUGCUUAUUUUUUCUGCUAUUUUGUGGAUGGAAAAGUUUUCUGGUGCCCUCUUGAGUUAUUGUCUCUAAUUGAUUACUUCCAGAAACAUAUGAUUUAAUUUUUAUUUAUUAUAAUAGUAAAACAUAAAGCCACAAAAAGCCAAAAGUAACAAGAAUGUCAAAAGUGUCUCCAUAUCACCUCCAGGUGUUGUCAUAUUCCCAUCCUCCCCCUCUGUGAUUCUCUUGCUUUGCUUUGUUUUGUUGCUUAGUUUGGCAAAUGCAAGACUAAGGCAUGAAGCACCACCCUCAACUCCAUCCUCCAGGUGUUUCUUAAGCAUCCGCAUAUUGGGGAAGACCUGGUCGCAGCCCAUGCACCUAAAGCCACUGUACAGGUCCUCCAGCCCUGAAUCCCAGGCCAGAUUCUCAGCCUCUUCCCUUUCCUCUUGGCCUUCCCCGUGCAGGCCAUUUUCACUGUCAGUUAGGACGUCUCUUAGGCACACAGAAGAGAGGCUGGCUUUUGAAGGGAUCUUCUCAGGAAAGGUCAUUCUUGCUAUUCUUGUCAUCUUUGCGGGGGGCUCCAAAUCAUCUUCUGUAUCCCCCAAGGAAGCCGUACCCCUUUUCAUUGGGACAGGCUUAUAGUAGACAUUCAGGACUCUUUUCUUUUCAGUAGAUGUUGCAGACUCUAAGGGGUUAUUGGCCAAGGAGGAAGGUAAAUGAGAAUGUGCCAUGGAGGAGAAAGUCUCCUUCUCCAUCAAAUCUUGAUUUAAAAGCCUCUUGCAGGAUUCAGGACCUGGAACAUAUUGAGGUAGUAUGUUGGUAUUUGGAAAAGAAAGCUUAUCAAAAAUAAUGAGAUAAGAUGGCCAUGAAAAUGUCCUGGGGUGGGGUCAUAUUUUGUGUGUGGUUUGUGUCAUGUAAUGUACAUACUUUGUAAUCCUAUGUGAAAAAUGAGUUGUGUAAGGCAACUACUAUAAAUUAUAUAUGUACAUACACACCCGUAUAUAGACAUGUAUGUGUAUGUGUGUAUACAUAUACAGAGUCUGCCAAAAAAUGUAUACACACUUCAGGAAAAGAAAAAUAGUAUGUUUUUCAAGUACCCAAAUAUGGGGCACCAUUGAGGAUGCUGUAGAUUUCAGGAAAUCCACUACAUUGUCAGCUCUUAGGGAAGAAAUUGAAAACAAGUAUGUAGCAAUCUCAAUGACCAAGGUCACCCAAGCAGCAGUUCACCGCUAAUGGGCUCAACUUUGAGCACCUCUUGUAAUUGUAGUGCCCAAAGAUAACUUGCAUUAAUCUCAUUAUAUCUCAAUAAAUGCAGUAUUAAAAUAUUUAUACAAGUUUUUCUUUUCCUGAAGUGUGUAUACAUUUUUGGGGCGGAAUCUGUGCAUGUAUGUAUACGUACAUAUAUUCUGGUAUACCUUUGGUGACUGUCUGGUACUGGCAAAAGCAGAUAGUGAUGUGUCUGUGUGUGUGUGUGUGUGUGUGUGUGUGUGUGUGUGUGUGUGUCUGAUACUGUGUGAGAUAGCACAUGUGAUUUCACUGUGAAUAUUGGUAGAUGGUGUGACAAUAGCCUUACAUGUUGGAGGAAGUGUUUAUGACCUCAGCACAUGCAGCUCUGUGAAGGGCUGAAGGCGAGGUGGAAGAAGUGACUUUUGUGUGAGAACAUAUACAUAUUAGAAGGGCACAAGAGUUUUCUAGUAUUUUGUCUACUAGUAGCAUUAUGAAAUUAAAACAGGUUAUCCAUGUGAGGUAAUAGUUUAUCUGUGUGAGGUGAUAUGAAGUUAUUUACAGGAUUAAGGUGUAAAAUGGUGGGUGAGUCUGAGAAUGACUUCUGGAAUGUGAGCAUAAGGCUGUACCUAUGUAACACUGAUACUGGGAAAAUAGGGAGAGAGGAGAUAUUUAUGAGAAAGAUAAAAAGGAGGAGAAAUGGUCUGUAUUUAGUACAAAGGAGUGUGACAUGUGAGUGUGAGGUGAGUUUAUACAGUGAUCUGAGGGGGAAGACUCUGCUUCCACCUCCUGCACAUCACAUAGGCCACUGCCUCACCCACAGUGGCCGCAGUGUUCACAUGAAAAUGUGUGCUGAGGAACUCUGUCCUCCUCUAGAAGGCAGAUUUCCUAUCUGCCCCUCCUCAGAGGAGUCAGUGUUCAUCCCUCUUCCCUGAAGACCUUUCGUGUAUGUAAAGGAAAUGAAUGGGGUUGGGAGGCUGCUCAGCUGCACCUCUUGUCCAAGCUCAGGUCACCUUUGCAUCUGCCUUACCAUCCUUGUCCAUAGGAAUGCACUCACUUGAAGAAGAGACGCACGACAAAUGUUCUGAGACUGAGAAAUUCUCUCCUGCAUCCAGAUUUGAACUUGGGACCAUCUCAUGUGUCUCAGUGGUAUCCUCUGGAGAGUUGUGCAGUUCUGAAGUGGAAGAAAACAGCAGCAACAAAGUUAUUGAUACAUAGCAUAGUCUGGGUCUGUGUCAUUUUAAAACAUAUAUGGAGUAGAUAUUUUGUUUCUGCCAUUGUUACCACCCAUGGUAAUUCCUCACACAAAAUUAAAGAGAACUUAUUAAAAUUAUGUAUGUGGUGGGUAUCACUGGGAUUGGGUAUCUUCUAUAUAUUUUUAGAGAUGUAUACAGGAUAUUGGGAACUCAAAUAUGUUUAAAAUAUGAUAUACAUUCACUAGUGGUUAGAUAUUAUUACUAUUGCUAUUUUUAUUGGCUCAAUUUCCUGGUAAUAAAUUGUGCCAGUGAAAGCUGUGGAGUAUAAGUUUCAUGAGGAAUUGUGAAUGUUGACUCAUUUAUUUUGGUGAAUGUAGAGUCAUAUACAUGGAAGGGUUGAUGUGAAUAUGAAUAAAAGAUGGACCUGCAUGCAAAGAUACAAACUGUUAGAUGGUUCUCUAGGAACUGGGCAUGGCACAGCUAAGCAUUCAAAUGAAGACUUUACAGACUUGAUCCCAAUUCGUCUUUCAGAAAUGUGCUUCCACAUUUCUAUUGGAUCUUUAACCUUCUGAUAUAGGAGGUAGAAUGUGGCAAACUGACUAGAGAAGUGGGAGGGACCUGUAAAUCACAAGACUCCAGGGCAGUGCCAGAUGAUUCCUGGACCCCAUAUGUAGAACUUCCUAUGAGCUCCACAAGAUAUGGACAUCAUGAGGAAGACCAGAAACCGGGAGGAGCUCGCUAUCUUUACUCUUCACAGUAGCCCACCCUGGGUUUCCCAAACCCAGGGUGUAUUUUUAAUUUUUGCUCUUUUUACCUUUUCUUUUUUUUGGCUCAAGUUUGCUCUACAGAGCUAGUUUUUCCCUUACCCCUUCACCCUUCAUUUUUCAAAUAAAUUUUUGGGAGAUAGAAAAAUGAACAUGGUGAGUUUUGGAAACAGAACCUGGGCAGUUUUGGAGAAAAGGGGUCAUUUAUUCAGUUGUUGAACAAACAGGGUCUGCUCCACCUCUGUUCCACCUCAGACCUUUGAGAAUGAACUUGUCUGUAAAAUGGGAGCAGGGUAAUCAAGAGAUUAUACCUGAAAUAGCUGAUUCCAUUCUGCUUACCCUCUGCUAUUCUCCAAAGCCAUCUUGUCCAGCAUCCUCUCCCAGGAAUACUUACUGCGUCUUGAACAGUGAUGUCUUACUUGGGCAGGAACUGCUGCACUUCAGUCCUCUGUGUUUCUACAGGGAUCCUGCCCUCAAGGUGCCUGAUGCCCCUCGAACUUGGUACUGUUUCAUAUUGCUUGCCACCUUCUACAUAUUUCAUACUUUGUCUACAUCUUACUUCCUAGAGAUUCUUAAUCUCAAACAAAUGAUUUGGUAAAUUUUUGUGUUUGAAGAAAUUAAAUAUUCAUGAUCUUCUUAUGUUCCUGUUCCUGUUCAUAAGGCCCAACAAAGUAUAAUCAAUGAAUAAAUUUUUUCUCCAUGUAAUGGAAUAUAGGGAGUAAUGACAAUAUACACUGUAAUCAUAUGCCACAUGGAUAACAUUCAUAAAUAUAAGGAUGAGCAAAAAUGAUCCAGACAAAACGUAUAUAUUUUGCAUUUCUAUUUACACAAAUUUAUCUCCUGACUGGCUCCUGGCUUCUAAGGUCAUCUAGAAAUCAGAGUAAUUAUUACUAUUUGCAUGGUAGGGUCAAAAAGUGAAAGUCUUGAAUUCAUGUGCAUGUGAAAGAUUAUAAGAAAAUGAGAAAAAUAAGAAGCAAUGCAGAUGGGUUUGUGUAGGAACACAUGUGUGAAUAUUGGCUAGGACAAUAAGUGGAUGUGCUGUGUUCUUGGACUGGCUAUCUUUUUAAUGUGUUUUAAGUAAGAUCUUUUGAGGAUCCUAUUAUUCUGGGCUUCUUCUUUCCUGACAGUCUACCGUGCUUUUCCCUAGUUCCUACUGACAUACUGUUCCUAUGUGACUCUGAUCAUGCUCUUAUCCUCCCGGGCACUCUCCUACUAUUUCCUGAGCAGAGCCCAGUUCUCCAAUGAUCCUGGCCUUCCUGAAGUCCUCUCAUGUGUUUUCCCUUUGACAUUUAUUGCUGCCACUGCUGAUUAUUUUCAGUUUCUUUCUGGCUGAGAACCCUUGUAUCAACUGAUGUUCAGAACUAUUCAACUCAAUUCUGAGAUAUUCCUAGACCCUAGCUCCCCUUCUGUACUCCCCGCUUCCAUACCUGCAUCCAAGAAUUUGUCUUCAUAGGAGAAGUCCCCUGAGGUUGAGGAAGAACUAUCCACCACUUUGUGGCCUUGAGUAUGGGCCAGUACCUUGGCUCUAACCUGCAGAACAUCUUGUGAAUCCAACUUUCCUGAGAAAUGAAAUAAAAACGAUACAGUUCUAGUUUGGUGUUUAUGUGUAUCUAUUGUAAAACAUAUAAUGAGUCUACUAUUUACAUGUUCACUGAAUACACUUUACCUCCAUCCUCAAGGGUAAACAAUACGGCUCCUAUUGGUAAAAUUUUAAAUGUAGAGCAGUAUUUAUUUUGUCAGUACUUGUUACAGAUCAUUACAUUUGCACAAAGUUUCAUUGGUGCAGAAACUGCUUGCUUCAACCUUUCAAGUUGGACAGACCACUGUAUUCUAGUUAUUGAGCUACCUUGUAGUUAGCUUUGAUCUUGUGAUUGUAUUUCCUACCAAAGAAAAUGAAAAGUGACAAAUCCUAUUUCUGUGGCCAUAGAAGCCUCUGUCUCUCUCCAUGUACUCUGCUUUUCCAGUCGACUAGGAUGUUGAUAGCCCUGGGUCUCUGUGAAAGAUGUGUUAAUGAUGACGGUAUUUUUCUCAGCCCAUGAAUUAGUCCAUUGAGGGCAAUUGUCCUGUUGACCUGCUCAUCAACAUGCUAGCAGUUGAUUCUAUGUGUAGUAGUUAUUAGAGCUUGGAAUCUUCUAGUGAAGUCAGGUUGUAAGGUGUUUUUGAGAGGCAAAUAAUCAGACUUGGUAUACAGUAAGUGGACAAUUAUGUUAGAUGAUAGUAUUUAUCAUGCUUUGGUUUAUUUUUGUAUUUUGUGUGUGUAUGAGUAAGUAUGGGUAUGUGCUUUGCAUAUUUCAUGGCUUACACUUGACAUGUUUGAAUAUAUACUGAUGUAACUGAAAGUGAAAUAAAGACAAGAACACUCUUCAGGCCCCUCUGUACAAAGGACCAACAGAAAAUAAAGAAAUCUGAAAAUCUAUUGAAGUAUCAGACUGUUCUCAAAAAUGUGAGCCACUCUUUGGAAUGUUGGGUGUGGCUCCAAUCUGUCCCCUCCCACCACUGAAUGAGGGUCCUCCCUCAUAAUAGGUAUUUGUUUACUGUUAAUCUCCAAGGUAACACAACUGUUAGUUUCUAAUUUUUCCAUAAAUAGCCAAAUAUUAUCUCGUAUUUCAUAAUUCAUGGUUAAACGGUACAUGCAUGUUUAUGUGUGUGCAUGUGUAUUUCUUACAUUUCACAAAGAAGUCCUGGAAGAAUGGCUAUUAUUAAGGAAUGAACCAACAACAAAUGUUGGUAGGGCUGUGGGGAAAAAGGAACCCUUUUCCUCUGUUAGUGGGCAUGUAGACUGGCAACCACUGUGGAAAUCGGUGUGGAGAUUCCUCAAACAACUAGGAUUAGAAAAAUAAAACAAAACUAGGAUUAGAGGUCUCAUUUGACCCAGCUAUUCCCUUUCUGGGUAUCUUUGCAAAAGAACUAAAAGCAUCAUACCACAGCCAUAUAUAUGUGCACCUAUGUUUGUGGCGCUAUAGUUUGUAAUACCUAAAUUUUGGAAACAACCAAAAUGCCCAUCAACUGAUGAAUGAAUAAAAAAGAUGGGGCAUUUUUAUAUAAUGGGAUACUACUCAGCCAUAAAGCAGGUUAAACUCAAAACAUUUCUAGGUAAAUGGAUGCACCUUGAGAGCAUACUCUUAAGUGAAAUGGACACAAAGGUAUAAAUAUCACAUUGUCUCUCUAGUGUGAGAAACUGAAAGUGUAAAUAAGGACCAAAAUGUAUUAUAAAUAUUGUGAAAUAGGAAGAAAUUGCACAAAAGAGAAACUAGUGAGGUGGAAGGAGGAAAGGAAGAAAGGGAAAAGAAAAAAUACGAGAAAAGAAAGAUAAAAUGGUAAUAAAGCUUUGUAAGUAAGGAGGGGAAGAAGGGUUGAAGGCAGGGGAGGGGAAUGGGGAAAAAAAUCAAGAUAUAUUAU
Molecule: long non-coding RNA, 7790 nt
Filed under: Heterocephalus glaber (naked mole-rat)
Lineage: Eukaryota; Metazoa; Chordata; Mammalia; Rodentia; Bathyergidae
Description: lncRNA (ENSHGLG00000037806.1)
Source: RNAcentral